Molecule: ribosomal RNA, 253 nt
Filed under: uncultured bacterium
Lineage: Bacteria
Description: partial 16S ribosomal RNA
Rfam family: Bacterial small subunit ribosomal RNA
Source: RNAcentral
UACGUAGGGUGCAAGCGUUAAUCGGAAUUACUGGGCGUAAAGCGUGCGCAGGCGGUUUUGUAAGUCUGACGUGAAAUCCCCGGGCUCAACCUGGGAAUUGCGUUGGAGACUGCAAGGCUAGAAUCUGGCAGAGGGGGGUAGAAUUCCACGUGUAGCAGUGAAACGCGUAGAGAUGUGGAGGAACACCGAUGGCGAAGGCAGCCCCCUGGGUCAAGAUUGACGCUCAUGCACGAAAGCGUGGGGAGCAAACAGG